AGUGAACGCUGGCGGUAGGCCUAACACAUGCCAGUCGAACGGCAGCACAGUAAGAGCUUGCUCUUACGGGUGGCGAGUGGCGGACGGGUGAGGAAUACAUCGGAAUCUACUUUUUCGUGGGGGAUAACGUAGGGAAACUUACGCUAAUACCGCAUACGACCUACGUGUGAAAGCAGGGGAUCUUCGGACCUUGCGCGAUUGAAUGAGCCGAUGUCGGAUUAGCUAGUUGGCGGGGUAAAGGCCCACCAAGGCGACGAUCCGUAGCUGGUCUGAGAGGAUGAUCAGCCACACUGGAACUGAGACACGGUCCAGACUCCUACGGGAGGCAGCAGUGGGGAAUAUUGGACAAUGGGCGCAAGCCUGAUCCAGCCAUACCGCGUGGGUGAAGAAGGCCUUCGGGUUGUAAAGCCCUUUUGUUGGGAAAGAAAAGCAGCAGGUUAAUACCCCGCUGUUCUGACGGUACCCAAAGAAUAAGCACCGGCUAACUUCGUG
Molecule: ribosomal RNA, 492 nt
Filed under: uncultured bacterium
Lineage: Bacteria
Description: partial 16S ribosomal RNA
Rfam family: Bacterial small subunit ribosomal RNA
Source: RNAcentral